This 559-nucleotide ribosomal RNA is filed under the name uncultured bacterium. Its description in RNAcentral is "bacterial SSU rRNA". It matches the Rfam family "Bacterial small subunit ribosomal RNA", at positions 56 to 610 of the family's 1533-position model. The record is from RNAcentral.
UGUAAGUCGAACGGCAGCGGGGGCUUCGGCCUGCCGGCGAGUGGCGAACGGGUGAGUAAUGCAUCGGAACGUACCCAGUCGUGGGGGAUAACUACGCGAAAGCGUAGCUAAUACCGCAUACGCCCUGAGGGGGAAAGCGGGGGACCUUCGGGCCUCGCGCGAUUGGAGCGGCUGAUGUCGGAUUAGCUAGUUGGUGGGGUAAAGGCCUACCAAGGCGACGAUCCGUAGCUGGUCUGAGAGGAUGAUCAGCCACACUGGGACUGAGACACGGCCCAGACUCCUACGGGAGGCAGCAGUGGGGAAUUUUGGACAAUGGGCGCAAGCCUGAUCCAGCCAUGCCGCGUGAGUGAAGAAGGCCUUCGGGUUGUAAAGCUCUUUCAGACGGAAAGAAAUCGGGCGCGUGAAUAGCGUGCCUGGAUGACGGUACUGUCAGAAGAAGCACCGGCUAACUACGUGCCAGCAGCCGCGGUAAUACGUAGGGUGCGAGCGUUAAUCGGAAUUACUGGGCGUAAAGCGUGCGCAGGCGGUUGUGUAAGACAGGUGUGAAAUCCCCGGGCUU